RNAcentral lists this ribosomal RNA (495 nucleotides) under uncultured bacterium. Its description in RNAcentral is "partial 16S ribosomal RNA". It matches the Rfam family "Bacterial small subunit ribosomal RNA", at positions 28 to 507 of the family's 1533-position model. The record is from RNAcentral.
GAUGAACGCUGGCGGCGUGCCUAAUACAUGCAAGUCGAACGCUGAAGGAGGAGCUUGCUCUUCUGGCUGAGUUGCGCACGGGUGAGUAACGCGUAGGUAACCUGCCUGGUAGCGGGGGAUAACUAUUGGAAACGAUAGCUAAUACCGCAUGACAACAGUUAUUGCAUGAUAACUGUUUAAAAGGGGCAUCUGCUCUGCUACCAGAUGGACCUGCGUUGUAUUAGCUAGUUGGUGAGGUAACGGCUCACCAAGGCGACGAUACAUAGCCGACCGGAGAGGGUGAUCGGCCAAAACGGGACUGAGACACGGCCCAGACCUCUACGGGGAGGCGCAGGAGGGGAACUUCGGAAAGGGGCGGAAGGCUUAACGAGGAACGCCGCGGGAGGGGAGAAGGGUCUCGGGUCGGAAAGGUCGGUUGUAAGGGAAGAAAGAGUGUGAGAGUGGAAAGUUCACACUGUGACGGUAUCUUACCAGAAAGGGACGGCUAACUACGUG